UGUAUGACAAUGAUACCAUACAAUAAAUAAUGGGAUGUUUUAUUCUCAUGCAACUUUUAAAAUAAUAAUCGUCAUGAAUUGACAUAAAGUCGAGUACAUACUUUGUAUUACUCAGGCAUUCAUUAAAACCGUACAGCACACACUAUUUCCUUUGUUCCCGGUUUGGUUGGAUACCUAUUUGCUUACACGGAUCCCUUCCUGGUUUUUCGGUUUUUCUAACUGCAGUUUUCUCAGUCAGUAAUGUAAUAAUAUGAACCGUACGUACGUAUUAUUAUUAUUGUUUAUCUUGUUGUAAUGAAUAGGUCGCCACGUCUUUGAUUCGGCUGAGAAUAAUGCGUGCACUUUUAUGAGGAAUUGUAUUUUUUAAUAGUUUCAUUUCAUCCUUGAAACAAAUCAGCCUUGUUCUCAUAGACAUGCAUUCGCUAUUAAGUUAGUAGAACAUGUUAGAAUUUCGACAUGCUUUUUUUAAACCAUCAUGUGUGUCAGAAAUAAUUAGUUUACAAUACUCAAAUUAGUUGUAGGUAACAUUGAGCAUAAUCUGACCAGUAAGAAAGCAAAGUUAAUAUUCACACAAGUAACACGAUUGGCUUCGUAAUAUGACAAAUUGUAAAUCAUAACAAUUAUUUAAAUCGAACAUUAAAUAAGAGCAAGUCAAGUCAGAUCCGGUUUGACCAAGAAUUUGUGCUAUUCAAAUUCAAUACAUUCCUACUUGGCUCUGAACUUGACAAGAUUUAUACGUACAUAUUGAAAGUUUUUUUUCCCAUAUCAAUUUUGAUUUAAGCGAUUCAGGAUUCAAUUAAAGUGGCGAGGUCACCCAGAAGCGCGUUAUGAAGAAAAGUUUAAUGAGUCUACAAACUUAGUUUGUUGUUGGCUAACGGCAGCGCAAAUAAUGUUGGCGAUAGGAUCGAAAUUGUCAGUCUGACAUGUCGUGACAUUUGUUAUCUCAAUUUUCUUCGUUUCACUUAAAAUUAAAGCGAUACAGUUGUGUGUCCAUUCUAAAGAUUUGUGUAUUAUAUCAGAGACUCGAGAGAGGCGUGCUGGUAGUAACCUACCCUCAAUUUCAUGCUAAAGUUGUACACCAUGAAUAUAAUAAUGAGCACAUGAAAGUAUUCACCAUGAAAAACUUUCGUUUCUUCGUUCGUCGUUGUGUCAUGAAACAAAUUCUCACUUUUCCAAUUCCAUUAUUCAACAAUAAUAGACAAUCAAUAUUAAUAAUCGAUCGAUAUUUUAUACAUUUCAUUUACCGACGUCGACAACGACAACGACGACGCGAUUGCUAUCGGAGCAUUUCAAAAGGGGUAGGGCUGCUGUAAAAUUUAAUAAAUCUAAAACCACACUUUUUUUCCAACUCGACGUGUCCUACACAGAAAAAUAAAAUUAACGGGCUCAUUCAACUUUAUUAUACGCAUGCAUACAUAAGUUAAUAAUGAUGAUUGAAUAGUAGAAUUACACGUGUACAUUAUAUUUUGCACAUUGUAUGCUAAUUACCAGUUUUUGCAAUAAGUUAACAACACAGAUGUAGAUCAAGUCGGUCUGAAUUUUCUUGUGCUCAUCGUCCCAUCUCGGCUCAAUUCAUUCCCAACAAACACGAAUGUAAAACACGACUUUAUUUCGUAUGCAUUUCAUACAUUGUAGUUGUCCUUACUUUAUUUGUACCUUAAUGAAUGAACAUUUAUGCAAAUUUUUGUAAAACAAACGUAAUAAUUGAAGUGAAACGACUCAUGUAGCAAGUUCAUGUCCUUCUAUGUGGAUGUCCUAUAGCUCGUAGGUAUUAAAUUAACAAACUAAUGGAACAUACGUACCGCUCUUGUUAUAUUCGCACAAGUACAAACAACAGUAAUACCACAUAGUUUAGCCUGAUUUAGAUUUUUGCAACGAUUACGAGGAGCAUUACCUACCAUUAAAAAGAUGCAUAAUUGCGGUUUCACUGAUAUUCUUUUAUAAGAGGAGCAUAUUUCUACCUUUUAAAGACUUGACGUCGUGUCUCUCACUCAGGCAGACAAGAUUUUGCAUAUCCCUCCUGGCACCACCAAUCUGCAAGAAGUGACUUACGGAUAAAUUGUAUUCUCUUCUUGCUGCGUGAGAUCACAAUGAACUAAAAAGUGCAGCAAUCUUAUACUCGUCGAUGCAAAUUAUAACAGUUGAAAAUGGAACAAUAAUAAAUAAACCUGAAUUAAAACAUCACGAAUAAUAAAUUUCUUCUGCAGGGGCUGUAAUCUUAAUGUCGAGUGGGACUCGGCGACGGAGAUUGAGAUUUUUAUUACUUAUAUUAUUGCAAUGAUCUCUUUUUGAAUGGAAAUGUAUCAUAGAAAUCAAGACGUAAUAAAAUGCGGUGUCGGAACAAAGACGAUUUUUCCACUGUCA
Molecule: long non-coding RNA, 2364 nt
Organism: Folsomia candida
Lineage: Eukaryota; Metazoa; Arthropoda; Collembola; Entomobryomorpha; Isotomidae
Exons: 2
Source: RefSeq, a predicted model, not a curated record